CCUUGCUGCCACCUUUACUGUGCCGAUCACCUCCCCUCUCCUUCCUCUCUCUAGCCCAUGCUCUCUCUCUCUCUUGGCAUCCCCUUGUUGGAGCUUUUAGAGAGGUGGGCUGCAACAUUGUUUAGGUGUCAAUUGGUUGGCGUUAAGUUGUUGUUUGAUUUCAUCUUCUUCUUUUUAAGUUGUUGAAAGUUAGUUACAACUACUUUUUGGUUGCUAUUCUUCUUGAUUAGAUGAGGGAUCAAGAAAAAUUUUUGGUUUCUUCAAGAACCAAGAAAGAAAGAUCAAAAGGGUUCAUAAUUUCAAGCUUAUCUAGGCUUGGUUCAAGCCUAUUCAGGCUUUUGGUUCAAGCAAGCAUGAUUAAAAGAAGCCUAUCCAGAUCUACCCUAUGGAUAUCUAUAGAGACAAGAUGUUUGUGCUGUUGAUUCAAAACUUAUUUAGCC
This 440-nucleotide long non-coding RNA is filed under the name Elaeis guineensis (African oil palm). RNAcentral describes it as "long non-coding RNA (EGUI_LNC044252)". The record is from RNAcentral. Lineage: Eukaryota; Viridiplantae; Streptophyta; Magnoliopsida; Arecales; Arecaceae.